AGAGUUUGAUCAUGGCUCAGGAUGAACGCUGGCGGCGUGCCUAACACAUGCAAGUUGAGCGAGAAAUCACUUAAAGAAGCUUCGGUAGACUUAAGAGAUGGAGAGCAGCGGACGGGUGAGUAACGCGUGGGAAACCUGCCCUUGACAGGAGGAUAGCCGAGAGAAAUUUCGAUUAAUACUUCAUAAAGCAGAGCAUUCGCAUGGAUGAACUGCCAAAGAAUUAUCGGUCAAGGAUGGUCCCGCGUCUGAUUAGCUAGUUGGUAAGGUAAGGGCUUACCAAGGCAACGAUCAGUAGCCGGUCUGAGAGGGCGAACGGCCACACUGGAACUGAGACACGGUCCAGACUCCUACGGGAGGCAGCAGUGGGGAAUAUUGCGCAAUGGGGGCAACCCUGACGCAGCAAUACCGCGUGAGUGAAGAAGGUUUUCGGAUCGUAAAGCUCUGUUAUUGGGGAAGAAGCAGUGACGGUACCCAAUGAGGAAGUCCCGGCUAACUACGUGCCAGCAGCCGCGGU
RNAcentral lists this ribosomal RNA (514 nucleotides) under Eubacterium sp. oral clone 24-64. Its description in RNAcentral is "bacterial SSU rRNA". It matches the Rfam family "Bacterial small subunit ribosomal RNA", at positions 8 to 521 of the family's 1533-position model. The record is from RNAcentral. Lineage: Bacteria; Bacillati; Bacillota; Clostridia; Eubacteriales; Eubacteriaceae.